UUCCAAACAAACGGAGGGGAAAGGGAAGAACGAGCCCCAAGAGCCCCUGGGAGCCUCACGCUGCAACUGAGGUGACAGGUGAAGCGAAUUAGUACUUCUGACUGUCCACAAACACACCUCACCCUGAGAGGAUGCAUGCUUAAAGCACUCCAGCUGGCCCAUGUGGACAGCGGGCAAGGACUGAAUGAUCUGUCUGCGGUGGAUAUGGUGCUACAAGGGAUUUUCCCAGAUGCUACACACCAUGGCCAGCAAGGCCCGCCCUGCUGCACGAUGCCAUUGUGUCUGUGAGACUGAGUGCCUGUGGAGUCAGAGUCGGAGUCUGAGUUGGUGUGGACUUCUCUCAUAACGGGUGAGAUGUGGCCAGUUUCCCAGCAGGCUGUGAGUACCCGGUCCUGGGUUAAAGUCCCAGCCCCUGCACUGGGUGGGGCAGCUCCUUGCUCCAGUUGACCCAAGACCUGUCUGGAAGAAGAAGAAGCAGUGCUUCCACCCAAAAGUGAAGAAAGUGAGCCCAGAGAUCUCAAAUGGCUUAUGGAAACACAUACAGAACAGGAAACAGACCUGGAGAUUGGUACCUUUCACUGUAACCUUCACUGCAUGUUUCAUCCACGCCAUUUUCCAAAUGUGUGCUCUGCAUGCUGCAUUUGCUGCUCUGGUGUCUGGGUCCACUAGACAGAUGUCACGGCCAGGAUCUUUGAGGAUUUAGGUUUAGAUCUUCUCAGGUGCUAGCAUAGCACUAGCUCUGCAGUUGGUGUGCAGUUAACACUUGUUGAAUGGAUUGGUGGUGAAACGUAGUGAUCCUCUACCACAGUGGUUCCCAGCCUUGGCUUUGGGUUAGAUCAUCUCAGAAGACUUUUAGAAAACUUCAAUGCCCGGGACCCACUUUACACUACAUCUAAAUACCUGAGGCAGAACUGACUUUGCACUUCUUAAAGUUUUAAAAAUGAGCCUAACAUGCAGCUUGGGAUUGAAUACACAGAUGUAACCAAAAACCUCUCACUUUCUAGAUAUGAAAUGCAGGAAAAUGAACGGGGGGGGUGUGUGAACCAAUCAGAGUUUAACAUAAACAGUGCCGUGGGGA
Long non-coding RNA from Chinchilla lanigera (long-tailed chinchilla), 1078 nucleotides. RefSeq lists it as uncharacterized. Lineage: Eukaryota; Metazoa; Chordata; Mammalia; Rodentia; Chinchillidae. The record is from RefSeq and is a predicted model, not a curated record. The transcript has 2 exons.